Molecule: ribosomal RNA, 204 nt
Filed under: uncultured Bacillus sp.
Lineage: Bacteria; Bacillati; Bacillota; Bacilli; Caryophanales; Bacillaceae
Description: partial 16S ribosomal RNA
Rfam family: Bacterial small subunit ribosomal RNA
Source: RNAcentral
AUGACGUCAAAUCAUCAUGCCCCUUAUGUUCUGGGCUACACACGUGCUACAAUGGCCGGUACAGACGGACGCAAAGCCGCGAGGUGGAGCAAAUCCUAAAAAGCCGGUCUCAGUUCGGAUUGCAGGCUGCAAUUCGCCUGCAUGAAGUCGGAAUCGCUAGUAAUCGCAGGUCAGCAUACUGCGGUGAAUACGUUCCCGGGCCUU